AUACGUAGGGGGCAAGCGUUAUCCGGAUUCAUUGGGCGUAAAGCGCGCGUAGGCGGCCUGUUAGGUCGGGAGUAAAAUGCAGGGGCUUAACCCCUGUCCGCUUUCGAUACCGGCAGGCUUGAGUUUGGUAGGGGAAGGUGGAAUUCCCAGUGUAGCGGUGGAAUGCGCAGAUAUUGGGAAGAACACCGGUGGCGAAGGCGGCCUUCUGGGCCAUAACUGACGCUGAGGCGCGAAAGCUGGGAGAGCAAACAGGAUUAGAUACCCUGGUAGUCCCAGCCGUAAACGAUGGACACUAGGUGUGGGGAGAUGUUCUCUCCGUGCCGCAGCUAACGCAUUAAGUGUCCCGCCUGGAGAGUACGGCCGCAAGGCUAAA
RNAcentral lists this ribosomal RNA (373 nucleotides) under uncultured bacterium. Its description in RNAcentral is "bacterial SSU rRNA". It matches the Rfam family "Bacterial small subunit ribosomal RNA", at positions 523 to 898 of the family's 1533-position model. The record is from RNAcentral.